CGGGGUGUAGCGCAGUCCGGUUAGCGCGCCUGCUUUGGGAGCAGGGGGUCGCCGGUUCGAAUCCGGCCACCCCGACCA
Molecule: transfer RNA, 78 nt
Filed under: Gemmatimonadaceae bacterium
Lineage: Bacteria; Pseudomonadati; Gemmatimonadota; Gemmatimonadia; Gemmatimonadales; Gemmatimonadaceae
Also listed under: 2 other names
Description: tRNA-Pro
Rfam family: tRNA
About the family: Transfer RNA (tRNA) molecules are approximately 80 nucleotides in length. Their secondary structure includes four short double-helical elements and three loops (D, anti-codon, and T loops). Further hydrogen bonds mediate the characteristic L-shaped molecular structure. tRNAs have two regions of fundamental functional importance: the anti-codon, which is responsible for specific mRNA codon recognition, and the 3' end, to which the tRNAs corresponding amino acid is attached (by aminoacyl-tRNA synthetases). tRNAs cope with the degeneracy of the genetic code in two manners: having more than one tRNA (with a specific anti-codon) for a particular amino acid; and 'wobble' base-pairing, i.e. permitting non-standard base-pairing at the 3rd anti-codon position.
Source: RNAcentral